AGUGAACGCUGGCGGUAGGCCUAACACAUGCAAGUCGAACGGCAGCACAGUAAGAGCUUGCUCUUACGGGUGGCGAGUGGCGGACGGGUGAGGAAUACAUCGGAAUCUACUUUUUCGUGGGGGAUAACGUAGGGAAACUUACGCUAGUACCGCAUACGACCUACGGGUGAAAGCAGGGGAUCUUCGGACCUUGCGCGAUUGAAUGAGCCGAUGUCGGAUUAGCUAGUUGGCGGGGUAAAGGCCCACCAAGGCGACGAUCCGUAGCUGGUCUGAGAGGAUGAUCAGCCACACUGGAACUGAGACACGGUACAGACUCCUACGGGAGGCAGCAGUGGGGAAUAUUGGACAAUGGGCGCAAGCCUGAUCCAGCCAUACCGCGUGGGUGAAGAAGGCCUUCGGGUUGUAAAGCCCUUUUGUUGGGAAAGAAAAGCAGCAGGUUAAUACCCCGCUGUUCUGACGGUACCCAAAGAAUAAGCACCGGCUAACUUCGUG
This 492-nucleotide ribosomal RNA is filed under the name uncultured bacterium. RNAcentral describes it as "partial 16S ribosomal RNA". It matches the Rfam family "Bacterial small subunit ribosomal RNA", at positions 29 to 507 of the family's 1533-position model. The record is from RNAcentral.